AAAUUUAUAGUAAAAGGAAAAUCCGUGAUUUAAAAAAUCGUGAGGGUUAUCCCC
This 54-nucleotide transfer RNA is filed under the name Scaevola albida. RNAcentral describes it as "partial tRNA-Leu". Lineage: Eukaryota; Viridiplantae; Streptophyta; Magnoliopsida; Asterales; Goodeniaceae. The record is from RNAcentral.